Molecule: ribosomal RNA, 261 nt
Filed under: Fasciola gigantica
Lineage: Eukaryota; Metazoa; Platyhelminthes; Trematoda; Plagiorchiida; Fasciolidae
Description: partial 28S ribosomal RNA
Rfam family: Eukaryotic large subunit ribosomal RNA
Source: RNAcentral
GGAAGAAAGAACUAACCAGGAUUCCCUUAGUAACGGCGAGUGAACAGGGAAAAGCCCAGCACCGAAGCCUGUGGUCGUUUGGCCCCUAGGCAAUGUGGUGUUCAGGUUAGCUCGCGAAGAUGCUGCUCCACCCUAAGUCCUAUAAUGAGUAAGGUUACUCGGACAUGGCCCAAUGAGGGUGAAAGGCCCGUGGGGGUGGAGAUUCAGAAUGGCCAGUAUCUUCCUGAGCGGACCUUGGAGUCGGGUUGUUUUUGAAUGCAG